Brachypodium distachyon (stiff brome) is the source of this 2674-nucleotide long non-coding RNA. RefSeq lists it as uncharacterized. The transcript has 2 exons. Lineage: Eukaryota; Viridiplantae; Streptophyta; Magnoliopsida; Poales; Poaceae. The record is from RefSeq and is a predicted model, not a curated record.
CUGCCGCGAGCACAGCCGGCUCGACCCCGGCGACCCCGAGUCCGAGGCGUGGUGUGUGGUUCCUUUCCCCUGUGUGGCCGGCGGCGACCGCGCCAAUGCGCGCCGGCGGCGCAGCGCAACAGAUUACGGAUAGAUCGAUAUAUAGCUUGGCUGCGUGGAGAUCGCGUUCCGGCUCCCAAACCCUCCCUAAAUCGACAGGGCUCACCUCUCGCAAGAUGUGUGAAAGUUCCUUCAGGUCCGAGUUGCCGAGCUCAGAUUGAGCAUGCAUGCACAUAUUCCACAACAGGCUUGCUGCUACGUACAUGCAUUUUUCACUAUGGAUCAUGAUUGUGAGUUCCUUGAUGAAUACAUACCCGGGUUCUGCUAACAUGACCAAACAAUUAUUGGGACUCUCCAUUGCGAGCACUGCCAGGGCUUGUCCGGCAACCUUUCGCAUCAAGUGAUCUAAAUCUGUACUUGAGGGUGUAUCUUGGCUGAGAAAUGCAUGCAUAAGCCUGCCAAUGAUCACUCGGAUGUGCCCAAUAUUUUCCCUUGUAUUUCCGUCGAUGGCAAGGUUUCUAAGGCAUUCUGCUGUCAGCUUCCUGAGUUCUCCGCUGCUCCUGUUGUCAUCCAAGAUCUCGGCAAGGUUGCUCAAAAGGAAGGGAUGAUCUGAAAUCUUCUGUCGUAAAGUUACACCAAACUUCCCUUUAGUGCCUGCAAGUCUUGUCAGCACCUUCAAUUAUGAACCUUUCAGUAGCGUCUGGUGUGCCUCAUCAGCAUUUUUCAUACUGUUUCUGUUGCUUGUAAACUCUAUGAUCUUUGAGAUGAGACCUGUUGCUUUGCUGAUUUCCUUGCAGUUUUCAAGAUCAAAGCUACCAAGCCUGUCCAGAAUUGACAUGCCCAGUACAGGAAGGAGAUCCUGGUCUGUCGAUGGCUCCUCCACUGGAACAUACCAGCAUUUUGUAAUCUGUUUGCAGCAUCCAAUCAUGUGGGUGUUCUGUUCUUCCAUGUUGGAUGGCUCCUCUGCCGGAAUCAAGCAGUAUAUUGCCAUCUUUUUCCACCACUUAAGUACCGGGGAGUUCUGUCCAUCCAUGCUAACUUGCUGAAAUGGGGCAUAUGGCUUUGAUUCUUGGCUCUCAGUGUCCAGAAGAGGAUCCUUUAUUUCCAGUUGGUGAACAGUGUCCAAAAGUGAGGGUAUGAGCUGCAUUGCACCUGGGAUAGGGGCAACUCGGAUACUAUUAGCAAGCUCAGCUGUGACCUUUGUGGCAAAUGAUCUAAUAUCUUUAUCACCUUCACUUGUCCAUCCCAACAUGUUGAACAAUGAGGUCAAUGUCUUGGUAGAAGUGGUAAGUUCUGAGAUGACUUUAGUCCUCAGGUGCUCCUUUUUCAGAAAGUUAUGCAGCAUCUGAACCCCGUAGAGCUGCUUCUUGGGUGAAUCUGAUUUUAAAGUAUGCACAGCAAACUUGAUGAGGCUGAUCUUCUUUGGAGCAAGCACAGCCCCUCCCAUGCAUUUUUCAAAUGCGUGUGCAUAGUACUGGUUGACACAGUCCACACCUGACUGACCUCUAAAUCCAGCACAUUGGACGAGGGAUCUCCGAAGGAAGAAUGAGAAGACCUAAAGGAUGCAUGCAACAAGGUAGAGUAUCCCUUGGCCAAGCACCAUCACAUAGAAAAUAUUGAGAGAUGACACAAGGUUUGUUUUGUCCCCAAGGUUUGACUUGUCAAUGUGCGCAUCAUCACCGUAGUAGUUUUGUAACAUAAGGCGAUCUAGUGCCAUCAUGAUGCGCAACAGUGCUGCUGGAAGCUGCAAGUUGCCAAAUGACACUAUUGCUAGAGCAUAUACUUGUAUUGUGAUGAUAUAUAAUCGAGGCAUGCCAUCAAAAGUGUACAGCAGCAUCACCAUGGCAGCAAACAUGCACAAGUUUAUUGCAACUCUACGCCAAGAUACGAGCUUUCGGCCCACAGCACAAUCUGCUAGUUUGACAAUAGAUGGGAACCGAAGUUUGCUAAUUGUAAGUAGGAGUACAAUCACAAAGAGUACCAGGUAUACUGUCCAUUUGACCAUCAGGUUUCUGGGAGUAAACCUUUGAAUUCGAUGAUACCUUUGCUCAGCAUGGUAGCUAUAUGGUGCAGAGGGACCUAGCAAUAUGAUUGCAACCAUGGGGCUCCAUAAUGAUAUUGCACGGGAUAGUGAAUUGCAUAUGAGUAGUCUUGCAGCUCCUGGAAUUAGAAAACGUCCAAUCACAAGGAUUGCCAGAAAUAUAAUCCUUAUAUAUUUCAUCAAAUGGCUACUCGAGAUCAUCACGCACACCAUAACAUCUAAAAGGCAUACGGUCCAGAUCAAGCCAUUCCAGCCAAGAGACUUGAAAGCACCUCUUGUGCGGAAGAACUGGUAAUCCAGCCCAUUGUUGUUGCGGCUGAACGUCCUGAGGUGCAUAUUAUUGCACGAUUAAGCAAAAAGGAUAGCAGGCAUUCCACAAAACAUAGUCGAUCAACAUGCAUACAUCCAGACCACAAUGGCAGAUUGGCAGCUACUCCCUCCGUGCCAUAAAGGUUGGCACGGAUUUGAACUAGUUCUAGUUCAAAACCGUGCCAAUCUUUAUGGAACGGAGGGAGUAUAAAAUAACAAACUGAUCUUGACAUGAUUUCGUACAUGUUGUGAAAUGAAAUGAAUGAGAAUCUAUGUUCUAUUCCA